This 720-nucleotide ribosomal RNA is filed under the name uncultured Bacilli bacterium. Its description in RNAcentral is "bacterial SSU rRNA". It matches the Rfam family "Bacterial small subunit ribosomal RNA", at positions 44 to 724 of the family's 1533-position model. Lineage: Bacteria; Bacillati; Bacillota; Bacilli. The record is from RNAcentral.
GUGCCUAAUACAUGCAAGUCGAGCGAGCUUGCCUAGAUGAUUUUAGUGCUUGCACUAAAUGAAACUAGAUACAAGCGAGCGGCGGACGGGUGAGUAACACGUGGGUAACCUGCCCAAGAGACUGGGAUAACACCUGGAAACAGAUGCUAAUACCGGAUAACAACACUAGACGCAUGUCUAGAGUUUGAAAGAUGGUUCUGCUAUCACUCUUGGAUGGACCUGCGGUGCAUUAGCUAGUUGGUAAGGUAAUGGCUUACCAAGGCGAUGAUGCAUAGCCGAGUUGAGAGACUGAUCGGCCACAUUGGGACUGAGACACGGCCCAAACUCCUACGGGAGGCAGCAGUAGGGAAUCUUCCACAAUGGACGAAAGUCUGAUGGAGCAACGCCGCGUGAGUGAAGAAGGGUUUCGGCUCGUAAAGCUCUGUUGGUAGUGAAGAAAGAUAGAGGUAGUAACUGGCCUUUAUUUGACGGUAAUUACUUAGAAAGUCACGGCUAACUACGUGCCAGCAGCCGCGGUAAUACGUAGGUGGCAAGCGUUGUCCGGAUUUAUUGGGCGUAAAGCGAGUGCAGGCGGUUCAAUAAGUCUGAUGUGAAAGCCUUCGGCUCAACCGGAGAAUUGCAUCAGAAACUGUUGAACUUGAGUGCAGAAGAGGAGAGUGGAACUCCAUGUGUAGCGGUGGAAUGCGUAGAUAUAUGGAAGAACACCAGUGGCGAAGGCGG